Long non-coding RNA from Gallus gallus (chicken), 22996 nucleotides. RefSeq lists it as uncharacterized. The transcript is spliced from 2 exons. The record is from RefSeq and is a predicted model, not a curated record. Lineage: Eukaryota; Metazoa; Chordata; Aves; Galliformes; Phasianidae.
GCCCGCGCGGGAGCGGAGCGGGAGGAGGGGGCGGCGCGGCGCGGCGCGGCGCGGCGCGUCGCAGUGCAGCCGUGGCGGCGGCCUGGGGAGUGCGGUCCCCGGGUUCAGGCUGGAGGCGCUGGGUGAAAUGCGUUCUGCUCCGGAGCUACGAUUCUCGAAGCGGUCGGGGGGCGUUCUUAGUUGGAAAAGCGACGUCUCCCAGAUGAGCUCGGAUGGAUAGCGGUUCUGGGUCGCCCUCUUUGGCCGUGGGCUUGUGGCAAACUCAUUUGCUGCACCCUUUCUCCUCACGCUUAAAGAAGGGGCGUUCCUUUUUUCUUUCUUUCUUCUUCUUCUUCUUUUUUUUUUUUUUUUUUUUAAAUCGGGACUUUUUUGACCAGCGAGCCUGAAAUGGAGAUGCGGUGCAUCUCACAGUUUGUGUCACUUCCAGGAGGCGAUGAAAGGCAGCGCUUUGUCGCUGCUGUGCAGCGAUACAGGCGGUGAGGUGCUGCUCUCACACAGUCGGCGCUGAGGAACGGCCACCUGAGCGCUGCCCUGUCCGAGUGCACAGGCAGAACUGGAGCUCUGUGACUUCGUGUCUCUCUCAGUAAUAAUCGCUUCUCGUUGUGCAGUCUGAGUCACGGUGUGAAGUCCUACUGAAACCCACAGCGUCCCCCCCUCCACCUGGGCACAAAGCUCCCCGUCUGUAGGUGCGUUUUCCUACAGCCCCUCACGCCCAGCUGAUGGCUGCCCCCCUCUCCUUCCCACAGCGCUGCUCCUAAUGCUUGGCCCGCUCCCUCUUAAAGGUAGGCUGGAAGAUUUCCCUCUGGCUUUUAUUUGGGUUUCUUCAAGCAACCAGAAAAGGGGGAAGGAAAACAAAACCAAAGCAUUUGGGGAAAAGAAACCGACACAACCACACAAAAACACGCCCCAGUGCCCACCACUGUGAAGAGAACUGACUGACCGCAGGCCUCCAGGAGCCUCAAGUAUGCGCUGCUAGUUCCCGGCCAACCAUUUGCUUUGAUGGUGCUGUGAGUGAGCAGAUUGACUUGACCCCUGUUUUGUUUGUGCCUGACAGUUGUUUCCAGGAUGAAGCGUAAGUGGAGCUGGGGAAGGGAGAGGCACUGGAAGUAAAUCAGUAAAAAAACAACAGAUUUCUCAUGCUUGCACUCUUAACCUUACAUCCGAUGCCCAUGCAAUCAAUUCAAAGAUUUUAGUUGUCUUUUGGUCAGGCCCUCCAAGAACCUUUAUUGCUAAAAUGCUGCAAUGGGUAAAGUACAUCUUAUGAGAGCUUUUUGAGACACUUAGGCUGCAAAUUUCCUUUCCUGUUAAGGAUCUCAUUGCUGCCACAGUGCGAGAGAGGAUGAAGCAUAUUUCAACAGAUGGAAUGUUCUUCAAGUGAGCUGUUUCAGUUUGAUUGUGGGUUUUUUUUUUCCCCCUAUGUUUACUCUAACCCUAUUACUUGCACUUCUGUUGGCAUCUACUGCAAAAAUGACUGCAAUGUCUACAUUUGGUUUUCAAGUUCUGUGUUUUAAGACACCCCGCAGUUUAAGUGAAUAUAGGGAUAUCUGUAUACUAAGCUCCUUUUAGUGCAUGCCAUUGCCCAGGUCAGCAUUUGCAGCUUCUUUGUGCUCUGAGUUGUAUAUCAUAAUCGAUGAAAGCACAAACCAACCAGAUCCAAGAAGCGUGGAGUUACACUUGCUGUGAAGUGUCAUUGGCAAAUGCCAUCUGCCCAGCAGUUGUAACGCAACUCCACCCUUCUCCUCAGUGUGCACAAAGAUGUGAGCAGCUUUCAGUUUUAAAAUGAGCAGAUAACGGAGGCUGAGUGGGAGAAGGAAAGGAAGGAGGCUUUUGCAUGUCCAAAUGUGUUGGAGCAGGAGAGCAGAGACAGAUGCUCAUAGCAGACCCCUGUGGCUGAUGAGCAGAAGGCUUGUCCUGCAGGGAAAGGUCAGGUGGAGAGGAAGGUUCUGUGCUGACAGAAGGGAGAAAAACAAGCUCCAUCUGUGACUGUGCAUUAGGCUUGCUGGAAGGCUUGUACUGAAAUCCAGGAACCCCCUGUGUGUGCUGGUGAGGACUGGUAUUUGCUGGUGAGCAGCCUGAGUCAGGGAAUGAUGCUGAAGUCUCUCUGUUCCUCUUUCAGGCUCCUACCUGCGUUUGUUAGCCUACUCAAGACUCAUUCUACUUAUCAACCCUGAAGCAAUUUUUGUUUGUUUGUUUUGUUGGUUGGCUUAUUGCUACCCCUGAGAACUGAAUAGUGUAGGGUAUACCUCAGGCUGUGUCCUGUUACCAGACUUACAGCCCCAUUGGCAUCAAAUCCCCCAUAGCUCCGGAAACAGCACACAUCUGAUUACCAUAAUUGUGUCCACACCGAGACUUAUGCCAAUGACUCUCUUUAGUAGAGAUGCUGAAUAUUAAUCAAGAAGUUGUAGCAAUAUAUAUAUAUAUAUUAAGGAGAAAUGUGGUUUUACUUUCUUGUGAAUGUUUCUCAGAGGUGUCACUUAAGGAUUCUCUGUAAAUUGAAGUGAUCUGGCUUAAUCUGCAUUGGCAGAAUUAAAGCAGGGUGGGGCCUGUGGCAAGGUUACUGUUACACUGGUAUUUCCUAUUCAUAGGUAUAGACCAGCACAAAAUAAACAGGACUCUUGGAUUGGUAGCCACAUGGCAGGGGCUGUGUGGAUGUAAUGGCAUUAUGGCACCAAUAGGAAGGUGACUUGCUGAUGCCCUUCAUCCUUAGUCUUAGCAGUGAGUGAUCCCACUCUGUCCAUGGCUCACUGACCCUCUUGCUUGUCUUCCCACAAAUAAAGCUAGUUCAGUUCACUCAUGCUGCAGAAGAUUAGAAGUACUGGUGGUACUGAUUGAGAAAAGUAAGCAGUUCUCUUAGGUGAAUGAGCUGAAUUAUUUCCCGUGUGUUCUGAUCAGCAAAAGGGCCUGACAGGGCAGCCUGAAGAGGGAGAAGUGGAAGCACUACCUGUUUGGGUGGCAAUAAGCCACCAAGUAGCUGCGGGGUAAGGCCAGGUGGUACAUCUAAGGCAGUAUUGUACCAGAAUUGCCACAUUUGCUUUUCCCAGUGCAGUUAUUUCAGUAGGGUUGUAGGAAGAUGUCAUUUCUCACAUACAGCUUUUUGGCUGUUUGUCAGUCUGAAGACUGCUGUUCCCAUCAAGCUGCCAAUCUGUGGAAGCACAUCCUGAAGCCCUGUCAGGCAGAAAUCAGGCAGGAUGGUUUGAAUGGUAGGUCUGAGUUUGAAUACUUGGUCUGGUCUCUUCAGAAGUGAAAGGAGUGCUUGCUGGAUCUGCUCCAUAGACACUUGGAUGAGGCUGGUAGCCAGCAGAAGGGCUUGGGAUGGCAAUAGAUUUUACAGCAGAUUCAGGAGAUGCAAUGUGUUUAUAGUCAAAAAUAGGGAAAAAAAAAAAAAAUCAGCUCUGAAUCCAAAAUAUAUCAUGCCCUUGCAAAAAGGAGUAUUCAAGCCUUCUUUGGAGUAGUGUUCAGGCUACUUUAGUGUACAUUUUUCAGCCCUUAAGUUGCACUAGUCUUUCAGUCCUCAUACCAGCUUGAGUUAUAUCUAUCAGCCUUGGGUCUGAGGGCAUUUGAGCAUGUGAAAAGGAGUCAGAGUACAAGAACUGGACUUUGAGUUGUGAAUUUGGCUUGCCGUCUGCUCAGCAGGCUCAAGGAAAUGGAGGAAUACAGGAAUGCAGAGUAGUAUCCCACAGGAAAGGUCAACUCAGUGGAGUUGUGGGAGGUGAUUACAUUUUUCACUUACAACAGAAAUCAAAGUAGUUUUUUUAAGUUGAAUAAAGUAUACUCAAAAGGAACAUUCCAAUAAUGUAUUUGGGCCUUCUGGAGGUAGCCCUAAAUUUGGCCGCCAGUCCAGGCUUUUCUCUUCUUCCUUCUGUCCGUCUUGUUAAUUAUUAACCUAGUGCAUUGGGAGCUACAUUCUUCUAGGUGACUCCUCCCAUGUUUCCAACCUGGGCAACUUGUCUUGCGUUAUUAGUCUGCAGACUAAAAUUGCUCCUUCAUGAGGUACUGCACUCUGGAAAGAAGCGGGCAGCAGAGUGUACAGAAGGUGUGUCAUCCAGGCCUCGUGGCGUGUUAUAAUACAAGAACUGUCUUGCUUAUUCAUUAUGCUGCAUUCUUAACUGACCUUUACAGCAUUCAGUAAAAUGGCUUCAGGUUAUUGUGGACUUUGUGGUCUUUUCAGCACAUGCAAUUAAUGAGGAGGGAAAAAUAAAUCUAGCAUCAGAAUGAGUAUUUUACUGGAACUGAGUCCUGUGCAUAAUUUAACACUUUGGGGAGUGAACGUUCUCUGCUUUCUUGAAAUAAUUUAGAGGCAGUUUUGAAAUAGAACACAUUUGUAUAAAUGUGCCUUGGGAUGAAAGAUCUCGUAUUUAGUUUUCUCCUACAUUACAGUCUAUAGGAUGUGCCAUGCAGUAAUCUCUAAACUGUGAUUUGCAAAGUGUUUCUCUUGUAAGUAGACUGAAAAUAAUCUUCCUGGCAUAAUUUCACCCCCCUUCCCCUAAAUAAGGGACUGCGGGAUAAAAAUCCAGUGCAGUGUAAUAUUGUAUCUGUAUUGUAGAUGGGAAAAGAGAGGUGAAGCUUGGCUGAAGGUGUCCUCAGUCUAGUGGUUCACAUUUUUCAGUACUUAGCAAGGAAAGCAACUGUUACAACACAUGGAUUUCUCCUAAACUGUAGCCUUCAGAGUUACAGAUCGCUUUUGAAACCUGUCCCAGAGUUACCCAGUCAAUCUGCAGGAGAACCAAGCGUAUUGUUCAAAGGCACUCCUUUGUCCUCUCCACCUUAGUGGGACAGCUGGCUUUAUAGAUCAAUAGUGAGAGAUCCCACACUGAUAAAAUCGAUAAUACUGGUAUGACAUUUACAUGAAAUUGGGUAUGAAAUUUGCAAAUAUGCCCAUUAAAUAUAUUGUGCUGUUUACAAAAAGCUUUGUUUCUCUUAAUUCCUUCUAAGAUUAGCUUAUUUAGGAGCUGAUACUGUUAACCUGACUCUUGGAAAAGCCUACAAAUUCCAUUGAAGGGCUGAAGGAGCUCUCAGCAUGCACCAGAGCAGCAGAAUCUGGAUCUCAGGCAACAGACUCUGGUGAUGGCAUUUAGUGAGAGCUUUUUGCUGCAACUGUUGUGAUGUUUUCUCAGCUAAGAAUAUGUAGUUGUAAUAAGUUUUUCAUGUAUGCUUUCAGUGCCAGUGAACAAAAGCUUUUUUAAGUAAAUGAACACUAAUGCUGUUGUUUGAUGUUUUUUAAAGCUGUGGCUCAUUUAUUUUAAAGUUAAAUGAAACCUGUUGAGUAAGUUAGGGUGUUGGUUACCACACUUCAGACUACAGUAAUUUACACUCUUUUGCCAGUGACCUCAGCAUUUACCUGCAUAUGUGUUAUCUGCCAGAGAGCAGAAGCUUUGAAUUUCUCUAGGAUGAGGAAUCCUGUAGAUUUGUACAGACAUGCAUUUUCAAAGGCCGGGUCAAAGCUACUUUUUCCAGUGUCAAGGGACACCAUGCUUAUACCCCCUGCAUGAAAGAGAUUGUACUGAGUUACCCUCCUGUGCUUUGGGGCUGCAGGCUUGGAGCUAUGCACAGAGCUGAAAGCCAGAACUAGUAAAUUCAUUCCCUAGAUGGGACUGAGGGUUAUAUCCCAUGUAAGCUUUAGAGGGCAAGUUAGGACUCAAAUGGAGCAGGAAGUACACCAAGCUAAGGUGUCACCAAAAUAUCCCUUGGACACUUGCAUGGUUGUCCCAGUCUGGUCUGCUCAGGGAACAAGCCCAUGAUGAUGAGGUAUCAGAACUUUCAUUCAAUCCACCUCUGUGCAUUUUCAUUUGGCAUCUUGGAGGUGAGUUGCUGUUGCUCAGAGGAAACCUGCAGCUCCAAAGCCUGAACCUGAUAGCUCGCUUUGUGGAGUUACACAGUCAGGUUCCUGGUUCAUCAGAUAUGGCUGACGUCAUUUUCCUAUUGAUCUGGUAAGCAAGAAUUUUCAGUCUGCUGUUUUCAGGGUACGGAACGUUCAGGACAUCAGCAAGGAAUGCUUCUUUCUGGAGCACAAAAGCAACGCAGCCUCCCUUCCUAGGACCACUGGAGCAGCCUCCCACUGAUCGCCCCAGAUUCAUGGGGAGCUGCUGUGUUUUGUUCUUGUCAACGGAGGCUGGUUUGGCCUGGUUCCAUGACUAGCGGGGUGGAGGGACCCACGGAUCCACGCCCUGGAAAAGGGAAACAGGGAAAAGGGUUGAGAGAGGGCCCAAAAACAAAACAGCAGCAACAAUCUGAGGAGAAACAAACUAUUUUAUUAAAUAAGAUACUGGGAUGCAAGGUAAUGCACUGUAAUACAGUAUAAUUAGAAUUGUAGCUAGUAAAUCAAAUAUAAUGGGAGAGUGUCCGAAAGCUGAAGGCCUUACUCUAAUGCUGAGGCGAGACAAUCUAGGGAGCACCCACACUGCCGAGAUGAAAAGGGAAGGGCAGAAAAUGUUUUGUGGAUAGUAUUUAUCUUCUCUGCCUGAGUGGAAAUGGUAACAGAACAGUGAACAGUCCUCUGGGGGAUGUAGUAGUUCUUCUCUUCUGGGACAGGUACCCAGACCUGGAGCAUUAACUCUUUAAUUCCCAGUGCUACGUGAUGUUAUGAUGUGGAAUACUGAUAACCAGGCAUCAUGAAGCUAUGACAGUUCUUUUCUCCAUUUUGUGUCUCUGUUCACCCAGAGCUGGCUAUCUUUCUGCCCCACUCUUGGCACAGCCCUGAAUGUAUUAGUGGCCCAUGGUUCCUGGAGAAACCCGAGGUGGAACCAUGUGCUUGGUUUUGUCUAUUUAAUUAUCAAAACUGGGAUUUUUUUUAUACUGGUAUCACUACUGCUACUAGUGAUAGGGUUUUGUUUUGUUGGGUUUGUUUUGUUUUGUUUCCUUUUAGGGUGUAAUUGAUUGUAAAGUAAACUAGAAUUUUGCCAGGAAUUAAUUUGGCCAAGUGUUCUCAGAAGUGCAGAACACUACCAGUGAAAACCAUAGACUAGUCUGGAGAGAUGUUGUUCAUGGUCAGGGGAAAGAUAUUUCUGCAAAGCAGACAAAGGCUGCAUCAAACUACUUGCAUGGAAUAUCACACUGAGAAAGAAAAGCACCUGUUGCAGAGUAGAGACUCCGAUUUGUGAGACUGAAUACCUUAGGUACUCUUCUCUUGCCUGGCUGAGUUGUGUGCGUGCACUUUGAGCUUGAAUUCUCUCACAGUCAAAUCUGAAAUUCAUUUGUUUCAAGUGGUUACAUGUACAACCAAGGAAGUGCCCAGGCAUCUCAAGUGCUUGAAGAAGCUCGCAACAGAAAUAAAACAAACCAACAAAAAAAGCUGUAAAGACUGAUAAAGAGAUUAACUGAACAAACUGAAUAUCUUACCAUAUUUGUAUUUCCCAUUCAACCCAUACUAUAGCAAACAAUACCUUGUAGCUGGCACUUGGAAGAAAAAUGCAUAGACAAGAAAUACGGAAGUGAAACCACAAGACUGUAAGUGAAGUCCAUUUACAACUGCUUCAGUAAACAGUUCGCACAUAUGAAAAGUUAAGGCUGACAAUUUCACAUGGACAGCUGCGGUUCUGUAAUGUGUUAUCCCUCAUCAAACUGUGAAGUAAUAGGAAAAUGAUAUGCUGACAGUUCCUAUCAUUAUCUCAUAACUCUCCUGGGCUUUAUCGCUGGGCUGUUGCAGAUUUACUGUGUCACCUUGGGCAAGUGAUUCGAACCUGUGAUGCCUCGGUUUCUACUACUGCAAAAUGAAGGCAAUGCGUAAAGGUGCAUAGGGGUGAUUUGGCCUUUGAAAGAAGCUUGCAAAAUCAAAUUGAGAGCUGUUGAAACAGCCCACCUGUAAGAUGGCAAGAUGCUAUUCUGUGGGUUGUGUGUAAAAGAUUGUAAUAAAAAAAUAGCUUCGUUUCUUAAUGUCAGGACAUGAACCUGUGGUCUUGGCCAGUAUCCAUUCGUAAAAUUCAUGAUGCUAUGCGCAAGUUGUUGCUGAAAAUGUCUGCUGUCGUACUGUCAGGCUAACUUAGUAGCACACAGGCUCUCACACCUGUAGUGUAAAAUGGUGUACUUUUAGCAUGUCUUCUACUUGGUUCACUUUGUAUCACAGGCUGAGUAGAGCUGACUUUCCCUCCCUCCCUCCAUCCAUCCAUCCUUCAAAUGUAGUUUUGGUGAGGGAAGGACCUGUUUCUGAAUUCAGUGGAUAUGCUCAUUCAAAUGUAGGGAAAGUGCUGGAAAAGUUAAACGUUUCAGUUAAAUUCAAGGUUAACUGAGUAAUAAACAAUAAAAAAUUGAUAAAUUGUUUUUUAUUUUGGGAAUUAUCAAAUAAAACAAUAGUAAAGUUUAGGAAGGAAAACAUUGCCUGAGGUGGGUUUUUCUGUUUCUGUUUUUGGUUUUGUUUUGUUUUGUUUUUUUUCUUUUAAUUAAAAGGAAAAAAAAAAAAGAUGUCUGAUCUAAAUUGCAAAUAUUGUUUUUUGCUUUUGUUUAUUUGUUUGUUUUUUCCAUAUCCAUAAGGACAACAAAUGAAGAGGCAGGCUAAUCAUCGUGGGGCACUGUAAAGUGGAAAUGUAUGCCUAUGAUAAGGGAAAACAGAGUCUCAAAACAAGAGCUAAUUCAAGUCAGAACCUAGGAUCCAAACAUGGAGUGCAUUUGAGGACUUCUGAAAUCCAAACGUUGGUACUCCAGGAUUAAAGAAUAAAGCAGAACAGAGACUGUUCUUUAACGUUUGUCUUUCUGUUCUUCAACCUUUCAUCUUUAGUUGUCUAGCUCUUUUUCAGUAGCUGUAGUGGCCACUUAGAUGGUCUCUUCCUUCCAAAGCAAUUCUACAGAAGUCAGAAACUGGUGGACCUAUUCUUUCUGUCAAGAGAUUUCCACUGAAUCUCUGUCACUUGAUGUCAACACUAUUUCACACAUUAGGGCUGUCUUUUGCUGCACCAUUGGCGAUGAAAGUCUGCUUGGAGUGGACGUGCUGCGACAUGGUCUGCAGUGGGACACGCUACCACCUUGGCUUUGAGAAAUAUCAACAGCAGGAGCUUUUGAUUAAUUGUUAUUAUUUAUACAGUCAUUAUUUUGGAGUAUUUUGCUAGAGUACUGAAAACAUCACUGUUUUAACUUAGUUGGGAAAUUGAACAUUAUGUAAUGUAUUACUGUAUGUACAUUACAAACGUAUUACUGAGGUUUUGAAGUAUUGUAUGGAUGAUUCUCUUCUAUUAAAUACUCUCAUUCAUCAUGUCAUCUUGUCAUUAUACAGAUAGCCUAGCCUAUACUUUUAUUUAUUGCAGGUCUGAUCUUCAGUUUUUCAUGUGUUUCGGUUUUAAAUGGAAACUAGCAAAUGGAAGGUAUGGCCUAUCUUUCGUUGUUGUCUUUCUAAAAGAAUAAUUUGGACCUGAUAAGGGAGGGAACAGCACAGAAAAGUUCUCUCACAGGGACUUGAAAGCCUUUCUAGCACCUGGUGACAUUCUUUAGCAUGUUUUAUUUGGGAGUGGACACAGGGAAAAUGCCUUUGGAGACUUUGUUACAGUUUUGGCCUCUAAGAAGAGAGUGGGUGUUUGACUGCAGGGCGGAAAUGAGAAACAAAGAGCAAGGUUCACCCCUCCCCAGUGCUGUCCCCUCCCAGUGUCUUUGAAGCUGUUCACUUAUUAGAAAUGGUUUUCUUUGGAGUCCUGUGUUGUCAGAGAGAACUAAAACAGUCGUUUGCUGCUCACCAUUCUUCCGCCUUGCUCCCAACGUUGGUCUGUGCCAAACAUGGAGCAGAUGAACGGGGCAGAGGUUACAUGGAGAGUAUUUGCCUGCUCCUUGAGAUAUAAUCCUCCAGCUCUUCUAAUGUACGCUGACUUCUGGGCCAGUCCUGUGAAGAGACGAACAUCAGAGAGCACUAUGGUGGUCUAGAGUAAGGGAGGUGCCCUGGUGUAGAGUCUGGUAUGAGCCUGAAACAAAGCAUGUAAAAUCCUUUCAGCACUUUGAGCUUAAUGUGAAGGUAUUAAGGGUGAAACUGAUGGCAUUAAAAUGCUUUCUGCUUUCUUAGUUACAGAGCAGGCUGUUUGCAGCAAAGAUUAUAGACCAUGGAAAAUUGAUUUGGGAGCACUGAUGUCGAAUCACACUGCGUUACUCCAUUGAAAUCAUCAUAGGAUCAUUAGAACUGAGUACUGUAUGUGUUUCCAGUGCCACACAGAACACAGAGACACUCUGCUUUCCCAAGGAGAAUUGUCAGGAUACACUGUAGAGCUAUGUAGAACCAAUUUGUGGUCAAAAAUUUUUUUUUUUUGACAGCAUUUGUGAUGUAAUUUGGAAGAACUGAUGAACUCUCCUUUCCCUGAUGGUGCAAGAAGUGGCUUUUUCAAGGAAAGCUGUGCUGGAAAGAAGUGGGAGAUUUAUUCCCACGUAUCUACACAAAAGCUCUUGUUUUCCUGUAACUGUACCGGCUUUAUUUUUAAUUGCAGACGUGAACAAAGACUUAGUACUUUCACAAUUAGCACUUGUAAAUGGACAUGAUGUAAGGACUAACUUUUAGUCAAAAUUCUAUUUUUGUCCAAUUUAGAUGGGUAAAUUCAUGUAGAGGCUAAGACAGUAAUUGAACAGAUGCUUGUCAAAAAAACGUGCCAUGCAGCAAAUUUUCUUCCAGCUUCUUUUGGAAUGAAAGUCUUAGCCUCUUCACUGAGACUUCACCAGACUGUGCCUGAGUCCUUAGAGGUUAACACCUGAAGCUGCUAAUGUUUCCAAGAUAGCCUGAUGCAGCUGGAGUGGGUUGCUCUAUUCUCUGUUCACAACCCUGUCCUAGAAAGGAGCUGCUAAAGCUGUGGAACUUUGGCCAUCACUGAUGGUGAAGUAGGUAAGCUCUGUAGCCUUGUCCUUAAGAAAACUCUUGCCAGUUCUUUGGACAUUGGCAAUGUUGAAUAUGUCUGUUAAGGAUUUUAGGUCUAAACUGUUGUUGUCUGUUAGGGAGAAACUCGGCUGCAGUUCUAGAUUUAAACUUCCCAGGGUUUUUGUUGUUGUUGUUUUUUUAAGCUACAGAUGCCCAUCCCAUCACCAUGAUAGGUGGGAGAGCAGAGAGCAAAAUGGAACAAUGUCUUUAAACCUAGGAGAUAAAAUGCUGGAUCCUUUCUCCAUGGGAUAUUUUAUGAUAGGAGAAAUUAUUCUGUUAUUUGGUACAGUAUUAAUUAAGGUGAAGACGAUGCUGUAGGUCAGGAGACUGAUGUGGUCUUCAGAUCACCUUCAAAUAGGAAACAUAAGUAGGUGCAGCAGCCUACUGUAUGAAAGCGAGCAAUUAGGAAUUUCAGUGAGACACUUAGAAAAAUGCACAAAACAUUGCAAAGUAAAGAAAAGGAAAAGAAAAACGAAAGAGUAAUUCUCAAGGGAGACGUUAUAAGGAGAAGCAAUAAAGCUAUUUUCUAUGCUGCCAAGAGCUGGCCUGUUUCCAGACAUGAUUAGGUGGGGCUGCAUGGCUGCUGGAAUACCUGUAAAUGGUGUGAAUACUGCUGUGUGGCCUGUUUCCUUACAAACCUGUCCCUGGAUAAGAGGUACAGUCUUCAGCUCUAGAGUAAUAGCUGAGAACACAUGGGCAAGAACUGUAGUCAGUACAAAAUUUCACUGAGGUCACUGGUGGCUUUUAGGUGUAAGAGCUUGCUUGCUCACUUUUGAUUGCAGGAUCCUGGGCCUUAGCUGCCAAAAAAUCUUAUGAAUUGCUUGCCUUGGAAUCUGUCAUUUCUCAAUCUUUCAAACAUGCCAGAACUUGGCCAGCAAUGUACUAUUCUUGCUGGACAGGACCAUAUAAAACGUUAAUAUAUACCUCUUUGAGUGAACUGAUUAUUUGAUUAGAUUGUCUCCUAGGGAACUGAUUUGGUGUAAUAAUGAUAGUGAAUGGAAGUGGCUCUUGCUUCACUGGAACAAGACUGUUCUGCUGCAGAUCUGCUCAUUGGCGGGUUCUUUGAUCAGCAUUCAAGGGUUAAGCUAAUGGAAGCUAGCUGGUAUGCAGUGGAGGGUUGAGUAGAAAUUGCACUCCUACCUAUGCCUUUGGUGAGGGAAUGAUGAAAUGAGGAUGGCGUGUGAGUCUGUAUUUUUGCUCUUGUCUUUUGAGUAAUCAGAGCUCUCUCCUGCAACUUUUACAAAGCUGAAAUUCUGAAAUGUCUGAGGUGAUACAUCCAGAAGAGAUAAGCAAGGAGUACAGAGGCAGCAGGAGGUCAGAGCAGGUGACCUGUUUUGUUGUUGUUUGUUUGUUUUUUCAGUUUGGUUAGUGAUUUUUAUGUCUAAGAUAUUUAUGUACAGCUUCCUGUGCCUUACAUUUCUAUACAAUGGGAAUAGUAGUGUUUCCUUUAUUUAAUAACAGUGAUCUGUAGUCCUUGGACAAUGUGCUGCUCUGGUUAAAAGUACAGCGUGAGCUCCUUGUGAUGGGAGGUAUGCUCUUCACAGUGUUUUGGGUAGGACAAGUCAUCUGGUACACAUUCACAGAGUUGCAGUCAGACCUCCCUAGCCCAGGUUUUUCGAGAUCUAUGUGGGGUAGGAAGCGAGACCAGCAGGGGUUAAUGUGGUGAUGACCUUUGCAGCUGGAGUCCAGCUGCUGGUCCCAGCUGCCAGCUGCACAAAGAAGGGAAGGGGGUGGGGAGAAAUGCUGCCAGUCCAAAGGUAAGGAAAGCUUUGCACUGAAGAAAUAAAAGGGCUUUAUGUUUAUUUGCCUCCUGAGAAGCCCAUUGUACUUAAUUUUCCUCCCUGUUCCAUAGUGAAGGAAGAGUACUUUCUAAACAUGAAGGCAUCCUGGAAAAGACAGAGACCAUGCUCUGCAAUAAGAGCAAACAGAGCAGACCAUGUAGAAGAGCCUGAAUGUGAGCUACCCUUCCAUACUGAAGGCCUACAUAUACCUGACAUAGACUUGGAUCAGCUGUUUUCAGUCUAAGCUGAUAUGGUUUGUCUUUGUUCCACUUUAACUUCCUAUUGCUUAAAUGAAAGGUCUUUUUUUUUUCUUUUUUCUUUUUUCUUUUUUUUCUGGGGAUGACUGUGGAACUGUCUCUAAAAACCUGUAUUUUUUCAGCUCUAUUUCUAUAGGGAGUGCAAAGAGAAGCUUAACUGAUUCAUGUAAAGACUAGGAGUAAUAAACUCUAAAAAAAUGUUCUAGAAAUAAUACCAUUACCUAUUUUUACCGUCAAACCUUUCUUCCCUUUCUCUCUCUAAUGUGACAUUUGCUUUUUACACCUCUAUGCAAGGACCUGAAAACAGGCUGUGUGUUCACUGUAAUUAUGAGUCAGCCUUUACCGAUGAUGACUCAAAUAUGUGACUCUGGCACCUGUUUCAUGUCUGUCUGGGUUUUGGAUAGCAUUGAUGGUGGCACGUAAAGCAAAGGUAAACAUGAGUGUGCUCCUUUCCCAGAAGCUAUUUGUUCAAUGCGUUGGAUGAUAAAGAACAAAAGCAGUUAUUAAAAAAAAAGGUGUUUACAAAAUUGCAGCUGCAAUAAUAGGACUUUGUGGGGGGCAUCAGGUAUUGCUUGUUUCAGAGAGGGAGCGGCAUUCAGACUGGGUGCCACUGACUCUAACACUUCCUUGGAGCAUUGUUUUGUCUGUUUUAGGCAAUUCUGGGGAGAGGAGGAGUGAGAAUAAUGUUAGCUAAUCAUAUUAACGCUAGCAAGGCAUAUUGUGAAUGAAGAAUGCUAUUUAAGUGUUCGAUUUACUGUUAUUCUCAAGGGAAAAAAAAAUCUCGAGUAAAAUGCAACUGCAGAUAUGUGAAGGGAGGGAGGCAAAUUUGUAAUAUUUCCAAAAACAGUCAUGAUUUCAGUAAAUGAAGUUUGAAACCAGUUCUUGAAUAGGAAUCCAUCAUUACUGAAAGCAGGGUCAAGAUGGGAGAAGUGCAAGACGUGAAUCUGAGGCAGGCUCCAGCCAAAACCUAAACAAAGGUAAAGCUAAAGAGCCUGUGUGGUUAUUCUGCCUGCAAAUACUGUCCAAGGGCAGGAGUGUGCAGAGGGGAUCGAGUCCUGAUUAAGUAGGUUAAGAGUGGAUCUGCAGCUUAUCAGCUUAUGAAGGCAGGGGAGGAGGAUUUAAGGAUUUGUUCUUGGAACAAAUGGUUUUCUUUCUGUCUUUGUCACUUCUGCCUUUAUAAACCUUUACAACACAUCACAGAUUUUGGAUUUUGCACAUAAAUGCUCUUAAUUGCUUUUACCUGAUUAUGUUAAAGGCAAUUGUAAGGUAAGGUUCUAACACCAACAUAUACACUACUGGCAUGAGCGGCAGUCUUAAAAUCAGGAUACUGGAAUACUGUCACCGUGCCAGCAGCUCGAUAAAACAUUCCACAGGAUUUCCAAGAGCUCUCCAACGUAUCUCCAGUGAUCCCCAUUGGCCUGUUUAUGUCUCAUUGUUCAGGAGUCUAUGUACAAGUGUUUUCUGGUGGUUGGCAUUAAUCAUAAUAGUCAGAACAAUGCCAGAAGCCCAGAGCUGUGGAAGAAAUCUUUAUGGUUGUGGUAGAAUUAACUAGGACAUGUGUUUUUUUGCCAGUUAGCAUGAAUCACAGUCUAUUCCUGAUAAAUGCAGUGAUAGCUGAACUGUAGUGCUUCACUGACAGAGGGGGAAAAUUACAGGUGUUUGUUUUUCCUGUGCUUUUUCAGUGUGCACAUUUGCUAACAUAAAACACAAUUCCAAGAAGCAGUAUUCUUCCAGAGACCUAGGGCACAGUCACAGGGGAAACAUUUGGGAAAUUCUCCCAAAGCACAAUAUAUGCUUCUGUUUACCCUAAAAUGUGUUUGGUUUGGUUUCUUAAGGAAUAGAAGAUACCAUCUUGCACCUGUGUCAUGCGGAAUAUUUUAAGUGGGGAGGAAUAGCACAAUGCACCAAUAUAGUCUAGGGGCCAAUCAGCUGGAAGUAGCUUUGCCAAAAAGGACCUGUGACUGGUCGGCAAGUUGUCUCUCAGCCAGCAGUGUGUCUUGUGUUAAGGAAGGGAAGAGCCUCCAUUGUUGCAUUAAGAAAAAUGUUCCAAGCAGAUUAAAGGAGGUUAUCCAUCCUUUCUGGUCCAGUUCUAGAGUCCUCAGCAUGAGCAAGAUGUGGAAAUAUGGAAGUGAGCCCAGCAAAAGGUUACUAAGAUGAUUAAGGGAUUGGAGCAUCUGUCAUAUCAGGAGAAGCUGAGAGCUGGGCUGAGGAGGCUCCACAGGUUUUUGGCAGUGUGUAUAAAUAUCUGACAGAAGGGUAUAAAGCAACCCAUGGGCUGCCCAGAACAACUACUGUGGCCCGACCCCUGCAACCAUGGCAUCCUGGAGGUGGUUCUUCCCCACCAAGCAGCCCAGCCCAGCCCUGGACGCACAACCAUCAUUCAGCAACAACCAAAACAUCAGCCCCAGACAAUUCCUUUUCUCUCAGUGCAGCCCAGGCAAGCCAAAACGUUGGUCACCCAGGAUAUAAAGCAAAUGGAGACAGGCCUUUUCAAGUAGUGUCCAGUGACAGAACAAGAGAAAUGGGUACAAUCUUUCUACUUUAAUCAGGAAAAAGUUUUUUUAUUGUACGGGUGAUCAAACGUGACAGCAGAUUGCACUAGAGAUGCUAUCUCUGUCCUUAGAGCUAUUUUUAACAUUCAAGUUGUGCAUGGUCCUGAGCAACCUGUCUGGGUGACCCUGCUUUGAGCAGAGGGUUGGGCAAGUCAUGAGUGUCCAACCAUUUGGCUUACCUGGGCUGCACUGAGUGAAGAGGAAUUCUCUUGGGCUACAUAUAAAAUAUAUAAUAUAGUUAACUAUAUAAGUAACAAAAAUUUUAUUGUUUAAUAUAUUUUUUAUUAAAGCAACAAAAAAGGGGGCAACAAUAAAUCAUAAAGCUGGUGGGUUGGACAUGUAUGGACUAGAUGAUUUUCAGAUAUGCUUUCCAGCCAUAACCAUUCUGAUUCUGUGCAGGAAAUGCUAGUUCAGGACAGUGAAAUGAGAAGUGGUUUGCUUCCUUUAAGACCAGCCAGACAAAUCCUGAUUUAGCAUGCUGGAAUGUGCGUGGAGUCAAUGAACGAGGCUCUGAAAAUUUUAGAAAGUUAUUCAGACAUAGGGGCAUUGUUGGUGUGAGGAAAAGCCACAGUUAACUCUGUGUGUUGCUAGUUGCACAUGACCAUAUAGAAGCUGUUGGGUCAGGUUUGUUCCUUGUUGGUCAGCCAUGAUAUGGGAUAGACAAAAGCAUCUUUAGCUUUCUUGGCUGGUUGUGUGGUUGAAGAGACUGAAUUCAAAGCAAGCAUCAUGAGAAGCUUAAGCUAUUCUAAGCCAGGGGUGAGAAAAGCAGGUGCUCACUAGGAAGCCUCAGAAACGAGGUUUGGUGAGGUGAGUGGAACUAUGGGAACAGAGACACAGAUCCAGCCAAAGUAGAAUAUGUUGCAACAGAGGCAAAUUGGCAUCCAGCAGCUUAGCAGCAGCAGCUCACCUGUUGCAUCAUCUGUCCAUGGGGGACUGCAUUACAAGGGAGGCUCCUGUUGGCAUGAUAUCUUGCAUCUUUCAAACGGCUAUAAGAUGGUGCCGCACUAACUUGCAUUACUCUCCUGGGGAGAAAGAACAGCUCUGGCCAUUUUCAGCCCUCUAAGUCCAUGAGUGUUACUUACUUACAUAAUGAGUGCUCCUUUUGCCAGAGUUUUGCAUUGGUUGAAGGACACUUCCCCAGAAAAUCUAGAGCUUCAAGAAGCAAAAAGAUGCAAGUAUUGUGAAAGAACGUGUUAAAAUUUGUAUUUAUGCAAAGAAAUUAGCUAAUAACAAUACAACAGUAAGAAACAGUGUUCAUUUUUUUUCAUAUAUAUAUUUUAAUUUAUUUCCUUUAUUUUCCUUGAAUAGGAGACAGAAAGGAAAGUAAGGUUAUCUACUUCAUUUAGGAACACAUCCAGGGAACAAAUUCCCCUUGCCCUUUCUCUCUUCUCUGCACCUAGCUAACAAGCUAUCAAAAAUUUGGACAUUCAGGCUUAGUAUCUAAAGACAUUCUUUGUCUUUAGAUCAUGUAUAAUAAUCUAAGUUUGAGAAGGUAUUCUAGCUUUAUGUACCCCAAUUUACCUCCUAUUUAUAUUUGGAGUCAGGUGACUGGAUUGAAUUUUUCCAUUUCUGUUCUGUAUCCUUCCCAUCCCCACUAAAUAUUGAUCUUGAAUUUAUCCAGAGAGCGAUUUAAUCAUUUCCCAUAGAUUAUCCAGGCUCAGCCACCUUCUGGUCUUUAUCUUUGAUAAACUGAUAACCUGAGAAGAUUCAAAAUGUUCUUUGUCUUACUCAGUGAUGACAUGACCUCAGCCUGAAGCGUGUCCUUCCUGAAUGUAUAGAUGUGUGAACCGAGGGCCAUACUUCACGUGUACACACAUCUGGGAUCCAGGGGCCUGGUUCUUGAUAGACACUACAUCCUGUGGCAGUUAGCUGCUCUGGCUGACAAAGGGUGUGGAGUGAAGCAGCCCAUUUUCCUAUUAGAGAGAGGCUUCUGCAAAUAAACAGUUGAUGUCUAUGCGACAUGGGUGGGCUGUUCGAGUGUUUGAAAAGGCUUUCCAGAGGACUGAAGCAUUUCAGAAGCAGUGGUACGCUUUGCCCAGAAGCAGAAAUGAGGGGACGGAAAGUUCUUCGUGUUGUGGAGACCCCAACAGCUAAUUAACAAGAACAAAGUGCUCUAGUUUGCCUUGACCACACCUUAGCCCUCUAGGCGAAGCCUCAGAAAUCCAAGGGGACACAAGGCACUUCAUUGAGCUGCAGUAUGCAUACGUGUAAAGCUGCCACUGAAGUCAUCAUUUUCUUUGCUAAAGUCAUUUUAACUCAGACAGACUUAUUUUUUCCCACAAACACAUCAACAAAUAACUUGAUCCCACCCAUGAAUAUGCAAACAAACGUAUAAGUUACACCAAGUGUUUCUCCUCCUGGCUGCCAAAUAAGAAAGGGAGAUUGUUACUGUGACUUCUAUUUUUAAAUACUUGGGAGGUGCUCUACUGCUACAGCUAGAGGGACUGUAUAAUACCUAGGCUCAGUCUCAAAAACACUCCAGUGGUACUGCAGAGGCUCACAGAAAUAGCUGAGUGGUGAAAUUCUCCGCCUAAAUGAUGUUAGCAGAAUCAUACCUUCUGCCUUAAGUUGAAUGCAUGUAUCAACCUCCUUAAGGGUAGCUACCUUGCUAACUGCUAGCAGGCUGCAAAUACCCUAAAUGCUUUCCACAGCUUUGUCGUACGUGAAACACAGCCUACUAAAACAGAGCCCAAACCUGGCCCAGCCAUCCCCCUCCUUACUCUAUUUUGGGCUGUGGCUAGGUGUAUGGACUAAGAUGUUUCACCAGACAGAAGCUGGAAGAAAGGGCCUGUUGUUCUGAAUGGGAGGUGUGCUAUGUGACAUACUGUGCAAAGGAUGUGUGCUUGGAAGGGCUGAUGUGCAGAAAUCAUUAGUAGGGUGUGUCAGUACAGAGGGGGGAACCCAGACCCAGGAGAAAGAGCCAGAGAAGUGAGAGCAAGGGAGGAUGAGGGUGGAAGGAGCAGGGGUGGAGGAGCAGCGACUAAGACUUUCCUCUUUUAGCUGUUGGUUUGGUACAGCCUUCAUGUGAAAUAGCAUUCUCAAUAGACCUUAGUAAUCUGAUCCAAGUAUUCAGUGGACUUAUUGAUAUGAAGAAAAGAGACUUACUACAGAGCAAAUUUGUAAGUGACAUUUAUUCAAGGAUAAUAAAUGAUUCAGUUAUGACAGCUGAAGUUAAUGGCAGCAGUUGGGCCUACAGAAGUCACUGCUGGUUGUAAAAUACCUGAAGAUCAACAAAAAAGCAACCUCUGGAGUGCAUGAACGAGUUUUGCAAUGAGAAUUGCACUUAACUGCUGAUUUGCCCACCUUAGCUAGCUAGAUCUUCAGCUCAAAGAAGCUGAGUUGAAUGUAGAACCUGUUGCAAGAGGUAAAUAGAGACAACUUUUCCUUUCCCUUAGAACUUUGUGGGGCUGGGAUUAAUUUGUCUCAUAUGGGUGGUUCUGUUGCAAGAAGUACCUCAGAACUGAUCCAAGCAGUUCCUGGCCUACACUGGGAGCAAGUGGUAUGAACCAUCUUUACAUCAAUAACACCACAGUUGAAUUGCUCUUGGUGUCAAGAUAUUGCCAGCUCCUCCUUUAUGACAGCCCUUUGCCUGCAGGUACAACACAAAGAGGUUAGUGCUAGGAGGCAGAGCUGAAUUUGACCCACUUUGUUAAAGGGACUCUCAGUAACAGAAAGGUGAUUGUGCAGGAGGAGCAAACAAGAGGGUGUAAGUUAAGGUCCAGAAAUGGACGUUCCUGUUUGCUCUGCCUGCUCCACACCUUUUCUGACCACUCUCCUUAGUUCUACCUGCAGCUUAGCUUCUAGUCUCCCUGGAACCACUAAUUCAAAUCCUGGCAGGAUUACUCAACCCAUCUGUAAUUUUGAGGUUAAAUGAAACUGUAAAACCAAAGAUUCUGUGGCAAAGUGUUUGCCCUGGUAUGCUUAACCAAAGCUGUCCUAAUGCCUUUUGUACGUGGCAUGCUGAGUUCACUGGUGUCCUGUCAUUGGUUCUUCAUUCCUCCUGAUGUAUUAAUUUAUUUGAUUGCUUUACUACUUCAGUAUUAUUAGAUUAGUCAUGUGUUUUGAGGGAGAUAGUGUAAUAUACAUUUACUAUCCACAACUUCUGUCCUAAUUGAUGUAGUUUUGUUGCCAUUCCAGAAUUUACAAUGAAUUGUAUACGAGCUGAAUAUCUGCUCAUUUAACAUAUCCAUUAAUUUUCACAAUGGUACUUUGAAUUCAAUGUUUAAGAAUUAUUAGCUGAGACGGAUUCUUUAGUCUUGAAUAUGAAAUAGGGCUAUGGGCAAUUUGGAAAGGAUAAAUCUGAAAUGUUUUUCAUUAUCUGUCAAGCUAGAAGCAGAUUGGAUGGAGAUUUUGCUCUUUUUCUGUAAGAGAAAAAAAACAACAAAACAUGGGUGUCAAAAUGUGACCCAACCCAUGCUUUCUUAAACUCUCUCUUUAACUUUCUAAACUUAAAAACAACCUUCUGUGUGUUUUUUUUAAAUAAAAUAUUGCUAAAAAUAUUCUCCUGACCUGAAAUCUUUAGCUGCCAAAAUCCAAGUCUUCAAGCAUGCUUUUAUAGCCAAGUUACAAAUCCAUGAAAAAUAGAUUUAUCGUCUAAGUAGAAAUUAACUCGAACGUCCUUAAGCCAAGAUUCACAUAAUUCCUCUAUAUUUCAGUAUAAAAUGUCUGUUGUUCUCCCUUUUCCCUCCCAACUCUUGAAAUGCUGUGUAUAAAAGCCAGGUAUAAAAAUGAAUGCUUUUUAAAAAUAGGUAAUAACUCACACUGUUAAAAGAUAAAGCUCUGUGACCUAAAAACAACUCAAGGCAACUUAUCAUUCAUUUAUUUUCUCCAAAGGUCUUCCAUGCUUUAAGAGAGAUAAUGAAAACUAAGUCGUGAUGAUGUUGCCAAAAACAGUGGUGAAUAAGUGGACUCCCGAGCAAUUGCAGCACCAGCAGCAUUUAACUUGUUGCUCAGGAGUUCAUAUUAUUACUUUUUUUUUUUUUUUUUCAAAUAAAACCCUAGCCCCAUGGGACAAAGAUUAAACUCUCUAGGUCUCUGGGGCUCCUGGAGGGCAAAUCAACAUGGUGGAGGUUUGCCAGCACGUAAAGCUGUUCUUACCGUACCUCAUAUGCUCCAUGUGCUAUUCUGGCUCACGUUCAACUCUCAGUUCAGAAGCCAAUGAAUUUAUUAAUGAGUUGCUUUGUGCAUGGGUACGUGGCCGUAGCAGCUCCUGGGGAGCCCCAGCACCCCUGCAGCCGCUCCUGGGUCCUGCUGCAGCAUGUCCUUUGAAAUCGGUUGUGAGCCCCACAAGCAGUUAGCACAGAAUUGUGAACUGAUCUACCGUAUUUCUAACACUACAAAUGAAGAUACGGAAGCUAAAGAUAAUCCAUAGGAUAAUAGCAUUAAUUAAUUCUUGGUGACUUAUUGGAAAUUUCUGUUUAACCCAUGCGAAUACAACUUUGGUCUCCAAGCAUCCCCACUAUCCAUCCAAAGCCCAUUUCCCACCAGCACACUCUGCUCCUUCCAAAGCCCUUCCUCUGGACGCACCCUAGAAGCACCCACCUCUCCCUAAUUGUGCACUGACUCUGCCUGCUUGACUCCUCCAGCUCUGCCUGCUGAAAUGCUGCUGCCUCAUGAGAACUGCAGAAAACUCGGCUCCAUUUGCACUUCCUACCGAGGGUGCCCUGAUGGGACUCUGGGAGAAUAAAAGGACACAUCAGAGGAAAAGCUAGAUCUGCAGUAGCUCUCUUCAAGAGCCCUGCUCAUUGGUUGGUUGGUUGAUUUUCAGAGCUGCAAAGGAUAGUCUGCAAAAGGAAAUAUCUGCAAGCAAGAUGUUAUAUAACCAGGACCAGUUAACCAUGUGCAUCCUUCCUUUAUAGUGACUCCUCUGUUGUGGAUUCAACCUUCAAGUUACACAUUUUCAGUACAAGUAGAACAUACAAUUUGAGAACGCAAGCAUAAACAGUCUACCUUAUUUAUUCAUACCCCAAUUUGUAAACGAAAAGCAGUAGCAUAACCACUUACAUUAGUCUGACAGUAAACAAAACAAAAGAAGUCUUGAAAUGGGCAAAAAAGCAGUUCUAUAUGUCAUUUAUAGGAAUCCCUUCGCACAAAGAGAUUUCAAAGCCAUUGAUGUACACUGUGCUCUAAGCAAAUUUUUACUCCCUUUUGUGUCUGUGUCUGAAAUAGAGCACAUUCUGACAGACUCUGUACAUUUACGUUGUAUGAGCUUUGUAAAAAAACUGCAAUGUAGAAACUGCUGCAUGGGUUUGUGUGUGUUUUAUUUAAUAAUUUAAAUUAAUAGGGGAGCUAAGCAGACAGAAUGCAUUUGUUAGCUGAAGUUUUGUCAGGAUUUUGAGUUUAAUAUUACUCUUGUUAGUCUGGGACAAGCUUGGAAUAGGCUAGGAAGUAGGAUUUAGGUAAAAGGUACCAUCAUUUUAUGUAGGAGCCAGCCUUCUACAUAGUAGGCUAGAGGACGUCAGCAUUCACAAGUAAGAGCUAAAUCUAAGCAUGUAAUUUGGUGCCUGGCAGUUCAUAUUGACAUAAACACACCCGUUGUGGUCAGUUUUUGUGUUUGGGGAUAGGGCUCGCUACUUUGCUGAGCUUCUGUUUGAGAAUUGUCCUCCCAGCACUAGACUUUGUAACACUGGCUUCUUUCCUCAAGCAUCUGAGCUGUUUGUUUGCCACAUUUUCAUGGUAACAAGUUUAGCAGUGAAGUAGUAGGCUUUGAAAAAGCGUAUUUGAUAAAGACAAUAGCGUCUGUUAAGGGCUGAGGAGGGACUUCUGGUGUGACAUCGUUAUAUGCCACACUAAAUACUUCAAACAUUUGUGGGAAGCCAUUCUUGAAAUGCUGCUAAAGAAAAGAUACAUUCUUACCCUGCCCCCACACAGCUAAAACUCUGCUUUGCUACGUUUAUCCAUUGUAGCUCAUGCAUUCUGUAGGAUUUGUGUACCUUCUAUUCAUAGAACAGCUUGUUUAAAUGAAAACGCAUGCCUGUUUUGCUCUAUAAAAAGACCUUAUUUCUACAGUCUCCUUUGCUUCUGUUUGAGACAGAUCUUCCCUCAUUACCCGCCUCUGUCAUAGUACAACUGUUAGAUGCACACACACUUGAAGAGAAUGGCAGCAAUUAAACAACGUAGGUAUUGAUUUCAUUGCCAAGUAAAGCCUGGAUUCCUGUUUCAGUGUGAUCUUGUACUCUACCAUGCACAGCUGCUGUCACUCCAAGACCUGCAUCUAAGUUAAAUGUAAACGUAGGUGGAACUUUUUUGUUGGUGUACAUGUGCACACAUACAUGUGCAUGGACAGAUGUAGUCUGAAACCAAGGGAAGUCAAUGGAAAGACUCAGCACUGACAUGACUGUGCUUUAUGUUAAGAUUUACAUCUGUUAAAAUUGAUUUUUCUUCCCUUUUGCCUUUAAUGUGUCACCAAACAGAAAUUAUGUUUGUCUCUGUAUAAUGUCUUGGACAAUACAGCUUCUGAAUAGGAUUUUACUGAUUCCUGCAUAUGAAUGUAUGUGAUACAAGUUUGUACUCACCUAGCCAGCCUUCAUCUUGUUUCUCCCUAAGACAAAGAAACUGCAGAACAGAAUAGACUCAAAUAAAGUCAGCUGAAUUAGA